This 253-nucleotide ribosomal RNA is filed under the name uncultured bacterium. RNAcentral describes it as "partial 16S ribosomal RNA". It matches the Rfam family "Bacterial small subunit ribosomal RNA", at positions 524 to 776 of the family's 1533-position model. The record is from RNAcentral.
UACAGAGGGUGCGAGCGUUAAUCGGAAUUACUGGGCGUAAAGCGCACGUAGGUGGCGACGUAAGUCGGGUGUGAAAGCCCCGGGCUCAACCUGGGAAUUGCAUUCGAGACUGCAUUGCUGGAGUACGGAAGAGGAGGGCGGAAUUCCCGGUGUAGCGGUGAAAUGCGUAGAUAUCGGGAGGAACAUCAGUGGCGAAGGCGGCCCUUUGGUCCAGUACUGACACUCAAGUGCGAAAGCGUGGGGAGCAAACAGG